Molecule: long non-coding RNA, 411 nt
Organism: Peromyscus leucopus (white-footed mouse)
Lineage: Eukaryota; Metazoa; Chordata; Mammalia; Rodentia; Cricetidae
Exons: 4
Source: RefSeq, a predicted model, not a curated record
AGACGCUGAGAUGUUUAAUGCACAAGAGGCCGGAGAAAUCAGACCUGGAAAGUCACUGCUGCCCCAGAUUCCACCACAGAGAAGAGCUGUUGGAAUUUAACUGGACAUAAACUGAUGGGCAACAGGUGUGGAAAGGAUUCCUAUCUCCUACCUUAUGCAGGGAAUAGCAGAGACCUUUCAAGGGGAACUCGAGCCAUGUGAACCACAAAGCAGAGCACCUCUGGGAAUCCAUCCGUCCUUCAGAAUCGUUGAAAUCAAGACUGUGUGCAGCUGAUCACCCAGCUUAUAGUCCAGGAAGGGAAGUCAGGGAGAGGACCUGGAGGCCGGAACUGAAGCCGAGGCCAUGGAAGAGAGCUGCUUACGGGCUUGUUACCCAUGGCUUGUUCAGCCUGCUUUCAUUCUUUUUUAAAA